GUCGACCUCGGAUCGGGUAGGACUACCCGCUGAACGGCACAGCUCAGAUUUGAAUCUGGCUCCCCCUCGCGGGGUGCCCGAGUUGUAAUUUGCAGAGGACGCCUCUGGCGCGGCGCCUUCCGAGUUCCCUGGAACGGGACGCCGUAGAGGGUGAGAGCCCCGUAUGGUCGGCUGCCUAGCCUAUGUGAGGCUCCUUCGACGAGUCGAGUAGUUUGGGAAUGCUGCUCAAAAUAGGGAGGUAUAUGUCUUCUAAAGCUAAAUACCGGCCAGAGACCGAUAGCGCACAAGUAGAGUGAUCGAAAGAUGAAAAGCACUUUGAAGAGAGGGUUAAAACAGUACGUGAAAUUGUUGAAAGGGAAGCGCUCGCGACCAGACUCGGGCCCGGCAGAUCAUCCGGCGUUCCUCGCCGGUGCGCUCCGCCGGCGCCCGGGCCAGCAUCGGCUCGCCGCGGGGGAUAAAGGCGGCGGGGGAACAUGGCCCCUCCGGGGGUGUUGCAGCCCGCCGCGCGAUGCCCCGCGCCGCGGGCCGAGGACCGCGCCCUAGGCAAGGAUGCUGGCGUAAUGGUCGCCAGCGACCCGUCUUGAAACACGGACCAAGGAGUCGUCUUCGUAUGCGAGUGUUCGGGUGUCAAACCCCUACGCGCAAUGAAAGUGAACGGCGGGUGAGAGCCCUCGCGGGCGCAUCACCGACCGAUCCUGAUGUUCUCGGAUGGAUUUGAGUAAGAGCAUACGGGGCCGGACCCGAAAGAAGGUGAACUAUGCCUGUGUAGGGUGAAGCCAGAGGAAACUCUGGUGGAGGCUCGCAGCGGUUCUGACGUGCAAAUCGAUCGUCAAACAUGGGCAUGGGGGCGAAAGACUAAUCGAACCUUUCUAGUAGC
Molecule: ribosomal RNA, 877 nt
Filed under: Ophiocordyceps sp.
Lineage: Eukaryota; Fungi; Ascomycota; Sordariomycetes; Hypocreales; Ophiocordycipitaceae
Description: eukaryotic LSU rRNA
Rfam family: Eukaryotic large subunit ribosomal RNA
Source: RNAcentral